AUUGAACGCUGGCGGCAUGCCUUACACAUGCAAGUCGAACGGCAGCGGGGGAGAAGCUUGCUUUUCCUGCCGGCGAGUGGCGAACGGGUGAGUAAUACAUCGGAACGUGCCCUGUAGUGGGGGAUAACUAGUCGAAAGAUUAGCUAAUACCGCAUACGACCUGAGGGUGAAAGUGGGGGACAGCAAGGCCUCAUGCUAUAGAAGCGCCCGAUGUCUGAUUAGCUAGUUGGUGGGGUAAAGGCCUACCAAGGCGACGAUCAGUAGCUGGUCUGAGAGGACGAUCAGCCACAAUGGGACUGAGACACGGCCCAGACUCCUACGGGAGGCAGCAGUGGGGAAUUUUGGACAAUGGGCGAAAGCCUGAUCCAGCAAUGCCGCGUGUGUGAAGAAGGCCUUCGGGUUGUAAAGCACUUUUGUCCGGAAAGAAAUGGCUCUGGUUAAUACCUGGGGUCGAUGACGGUACCGGAAGAAUAAGGACCGGCUAACUACGUGCCAGCAGCCGCCGUAA
This 508-nucleotide ribosomal RNA is filed under the name uncultured bacterium. RNAcentral describes it as "partial 16S ribosomal RNA". It matches the Rfam family "Bacterial small subunit ribosomal RNA", at positions 30 to 523 of the family's 1533-position model. The record is from RNAcentral.